This is a non-coding RNA of Phoenix dactylifera (date palm), 909 nucleotides long. The record is from RefSeq and is a predicted model, not a curated record. NCBI's taxonomy places the organism in Eukaryota, Viridiplantae, Streptophyta, Magnoliopsida, Arecales, Arecaceae.
UUUAACCUAAAAGGAGCAAACUAGGCCGUCGUUCUUGACUGGUAUAAUCGCGCCACUUUCCCAUGCACAAACUCGACCACCGCGAGCGCCACUGCCCCGGCUCCGAUGAGCGGUUCGUGGCCGGCCAGCCGCGAUCGCGCCUGAUUCGCCAACGUGCCGUCCAAGAAGCUGAGCAUCCCCAGGGCCGAUCAGAACUGGGUGAGGGUGGAGGUGUUCCCCGGUGGCGGGACGUCCUUCUCCCGGGAGGGUGAAGUGGUUCGUCGAACAGAUGGCGAAGCUCGUCCCGCUGAAGAGCGGGAAGAUCCGGACGGUUCUUGAUGUCGGGUGCGCGUUGAAGUAUAUGGCAGCAACAGGUGGUCCAAGGUUAUUUACAAUAUGCUGAGAAGUCCCUGAUAUUGAAGUUUUGGCGCCAUCCAGGUGCAGUCGCUUCGUCAUCCCGCUGUGGUGAGAUGCAGAGAUCGUUGCGACGUUAUAUGUUGUUGCUCGAAAAGUAUUGUGACCACAACCUCUUUCUUCCCUCCCAUGUCCCUUUCUUAUUAGAGUAUUGGGGGGCUAUUGCAAGAGACCUGCAAUCGUCCUCUUUCCGCACCAUCAUUUGAGAAAGGGAGAACAUCGCUGACCUAAAACAUAAACUCUGCUGCGACAGUGCGGGUUACAUACUAGUAUACAAUAUGACUGAGCUCACCAAUUCCUUCCUUCCCUUCCUCUCUCUCUCUCUCUCACUCUCUCACUCUCUCACUUACUCACUCAAACACACAUAUGUACCUCAGUGAUGUAGCUAUGUGAAGAGUAGGUAGGUUUAAGUGAUUUGUCACCAUCAAUUCCCUUUUUGGGAUAACUUGAUACUUGUACCAGAUCCUUAGAAGGAACUAUAUAUUUAAAACUCGGCCAACUUGGAAGUUUCUCGAA